This 253-nucleotide ribosomal RNA is filed under the name uncultured Sphingomonas sp. RNAcentral's name for it is "partial 16S ribosomal RNA". It matches the Rfam family "Bacterial small subunit ribosomal RNA", at positions 524 to 776 of the family's 1533-position model. The record is from RNAcentral. Lineage: Bacteria; Pseudomonadati; Pseudomonadota; Alphaproteobacteria; Sphingomonadales; Sphingomonadaceae.
UACAGAGGGGGCAAGCGUUGUUCGGAAUUACUGGGCGUAAAGCGCACGUAGGCGGCUUUGUAAGUUAGAGGUGAAAGCCCGGAGCUCAACUCCGGAAUUGCCUUUAAGACUGCAUCGCUUGAAUCAUGGAGAGGUGAGUGGAAUUCCGAGUGUAGAGGUGAAAUUCGUAGAUAUUCGGAAGAACACCAGUGGCGAAGGCGACUCACUGGACAUGUAUUGACGCUGAGGUGCGAAAGCGUGGGGAGCAAACAGG